Vidua chalybeata is the source of this 670-nucleotide long non-coding RNA. RefSeq lists it as uncharacterized. The record is from RefSeq and is a predicted model, not a curated record. NCBI's taxonomy places the organism in Eukaryota, Metazoa, Chordata, Aves, Passeriformes, Viduidae. The transcript is spliced from 2 exons.
UUCCCCUCACACAUUCGUGGGUCCGUUUCCUGCCUUUUUCCCCUCACACAUUCCCGGGUCCAUUUCCUGCCUUUUUCCCCUCACACAUUCCCAGGUCCAUUUCCCGCCUUUUUCCCCUCACACAUUCCCAGGUCCAUUUCCCGCCUUUUUCCCCUCACACAUUCCCAGGUCCAUUUCCCGCCUUUUUCCCCUCACACAUUCCCGGGUCCAUUUCCCGCCUUUUUCCCCUCACACAUUCCCAGGUCCAUUUCCCGCCUUUUUCCCCUCACACAUUCCCGGGUCCAUUUCCCGCCUUUUUCCCCUCACACAUUCCCAGGUCCAUUUCCCGCCUUUUUCCCCUCACACAUUCCCGGGUCCAUUUCCCGCCUUUUUCCCCUCAUGCACCCACAGCCGCCAUGACCUGCCUGGCAUGAGGCUGCUGUGACAAACUCAUCGUUGGAUGAGGCUGUCAGGACGGAGUGUGUCACCCUCAGAGAGGUGUCCUGUGGCUCGUGGAGUUCCAUGACCAUGCCCAGACUGUGACCAGGGACUGAAGCAGCCAUGGCCCACCAGGGAAUGCUGAGCAGCUGCAGAAAAAAAAGCUGCAAAUGUUCUCAGACCCAUGAAAACAUGGUGGGAGAUGGCGACUGACAGCGACUGCAAGACGAGUGAAAUAAAAAUCAAAUUUCAA